Molecule: long non-coding RNA, 1126 nt
Organism: Sander lucioperca (pikeperch)
Lineage: Eukaryota; Metazoa; Chordata; Actinopteri; Perciformes; Percidae
Exons: 2
Source: RefSeq, a predicted model, not a curated record
UGUGUGUGUGUGUGUGUGUGUGUGUGUGUGUGUGUGUCUGUCUCUCUGUGUGUGUGUGUGUGUGUGUGUGUGUGUGUGUGUGUGUGUGUGUGUGUGUGUGUGUGUGUGUGUGUGUGUGUGUGUGUGUGUGUGUGUGUGUGUGUGUGUGUGUGUGUGUGUGUGUGUGUGCGUUUGCAUGCAGGGCGUGUGAUGCGUCAGUGCAGUAGUGUUGCAGUAGCAGUGCUUGUAGUUAGUGCAUGCUGCUUCUGCUUGCCACUCUCUGCUUUCAGCUACUGCCACCGGAUAGCCCUUUGUUUUCAGGGGCGAAAAGAGGAGCCGAGUGUGUAAGGCUCCUCAGCCGGUACAUAGCCUCUCCACUGCCAAGAUCUUGUACACGCCUCCCCGUGGCACACAUGGUAACUGGUCCCUUGUGGUUCCAGGCUAAGUUGUACAGGAUCUCGGAGCAGCAGUGGGCCCCAGAGACGUGGCAUGCAGGCCCAUCGGUGAGUGGAAACGCCCUGAUGUCCGUCAACCACUGUCCCAGUUAUGGGUAAAUAGCCCCAGCUAUGGGUAAAUAGUGAAGACCCCAACAGCAGCGCAGGCGGAAGAUGUUGGUGUGAGAACCACCACCACAACAGCUGGGAAGGCGGAAGAAGGCAACCCCACAGCCACGUGGGUUAACUCGGGAGGGUACAGUGGCUAGGGGAGCAAACCCCGAAGACAAACCUGCACCUGGGGACAGGCACAGGUGGAGUCCAUGUGGUAGGAGUGAAGAUGGUGGGAGUGAGGUCUGCGCACCCACACCCUCACCUUAAUCCUCACCUAUGCGCAAGCUUCUUGCCGCCACCCCCGAAAAACGUCCUGUGGCGAUGUGUAGCAGAGGAGAUAAUGAGAUGACUGUGAUCACCUGGCCGGUCCUCCCAGACUAUUUAACCCCGCCUGCCCCGAGACCAGGCGGCCGCAUUCUCCCGACUGCACACCAACAUGUUUUCUCUCUGUUUGAGUUUUCCCUUUGUUAACUACUGACAACAUGCACCUCACAUUCUCCAUUACAUCCAUACACCUUCAUUCAUCACUGAUACUGACAAUCACACCUCAUCGUUCUCUUGUUUGCAUCAUUAUUUAAUAAAUGUCACUUUAUUAUUGU